Molecule: long non-coding RNA, 42661 nt
Filed under: Ananas comosus (pineapple)
Lineage: Eukaryota; Viridiplantae; Streptophyta; Magnoliopsida; Poales; Bromeliaceae
Description: long non-coding RNA (ACOM_LNC014365)
Source: RNAcentral
GAGGGUGUGAGGUCGAUUCAUGGCCUAGUGGUUUUUUUACUUUUCAUGUGCAUUGAUAUAUGUGGUGGUUACAGUGGAAUAUUAUCUUGCCCUUCAUGAUGUGUAGUAAGCCGCUUACUCACAGAAUGGAUUGUCGCUCAACUAAUUAACAUGCUAAUUAAUUAAAGCAAUAUUUUCUGUGCCUCAUGUCAACCUAUUUCGAUUAUGUUAUUUGUAAAUCUCAGAAAUGAAUGGUUAUGCAUGUGCAGAAUAUCAUUGUAAUAAUGGAUGUCUUAAUGCACUACUUUGGACACUUAGAAUAAACCAGUUAAUGUGUAAGGUAGUUCUUACGAGGUAAACAAGUGAAAAUAAUCAUAAAGGAAAAAUGUUAUCCCUAUGAAGCAUACGCAGGCAUGAGCUAUUUUUCUUUGUGUGUGUUGAGUUAGUCUGAUCUCAGUUACUUAACUACUUCAUGUGUUCCAGAAAGUUUAUUCUGCUGAUUCUUUCAGGUGAUAUUGGAAACCAUUUAAGAGUUCCAUUUUGAUUAACCUGCAGGUUGGUGAUGGAACUACUACUGUAGUGCUUCUUGCUGCUGAAUUCCUGAAGGAAGCAAAACCUUUCAUUGAGGAUGGUGUCCAUUCACAGAAUCUCAUUCGAAGCUACAGGACAGCUUCAUAUUUGGUUGGUAUUAUUAUCUUUUUCCUACCUUUAUUUUUUAUUACAAAAGCUUGAGCUUACAACUAUAUGAAACAUGUAACAGGCAAUCGACAAAAUCAAAGAACUUGCUGUGAGCAUAGAAGGGAAAAGCCUGGAAGAAAAGAAAAGUUUGUUGGCAAAAUGUGCCGCUACCACACUCUCUUCAAAGCUGAUUGGUGGUGAGAAAGAGUUCUUUGCAUCGAUGGUUGUGGAUGCUGUCCUUGCUAUUGGCAAUGAUGAUAGACUUAAUCUAAUUGGGAUUAAAAAGGUAAUUUCUAUCAGUCAGAAAUUAAGCGGUUCGGUUUCCUCUGCUUCUUUUGUGAAAGUUGAUGUUAGUCAUAAGAAAUUGAGGUUGCUGCAAUUGUUAGCAAAACAAGCGACCUGUGGUAAAAAAGAAGUUAAAUUAUUCUUAUUGCUUUCCUAUAUUUUCUUCCUCGUUGGGAUAGAAUUAUAAUAUGGUAUUUUUUGGAUGCUGUACUUUAAUUUAUUGUGGCAAUAAUUUAUCAGAGUGAAUAUUGUUUCAGAGUUUUUUGUUUUUUAACUUAAUUAUCGAAUGCAUCGUGGUUUUCCAGAGGGAAUUUCUUAGCCAAAAUCCACCUUUAUGUUUUUCUUUUUCCUUUACUUUGUGCAUUUUCUUAACAAGGUUGAUGAACUAGCUGCCUCCUUUUGAAUGGUCUGGAUCUUGUUAAGACUUGUGACUUCAGAAUUCUGAGACUUUACAAUUCAAUUUUCAUUUUCAUUCUCCUUAAUAGGUUCCUGGGGGUAAUAUGAGAGAUUCAUUUCUCGUCAAUGGUGUUGCAUUCAAGAAAACAUUUUCUUAUGCUGGAUUUGAACAACAACCGAAAAAGUUCUUGAAUCCAAAAAUUCUUUUGUUGAACAUUGAACUGGAAUUGAAGUCAGAGAAAGAAAAUGCAGAAAUCAGGUUGGUUUAUUCGCCAUAGUUUUUGAUGAUUGUACAAUUUGUGCUUGUCCUUGUACUACAACCAUUUAUAAGCUUCUAUCGUUCAUUUGUAGAUUAUCAGACCCACUCCAGUAUCAGUCAAUUGUUGAUGCUGAAUGGAAUAUUAUCUAUGACAAGUUAGAUAAGUGUGUGCAAAGUGGGGCAAAGAUAGUUCUUUCUCGGUUGGCAAUUGGUGACCUUGCAACCCAGGUACCUUUUCUGGACUGUGCUAAAGUUGUCUUGUUCAAUGUGGUAUAUUUUUUGGCUUUUACUGCUAAGCAACCUAGUUACCUUAUAUACUCGUGAAAUCUCUAUUUUCAUAUAUACCCAUCUCUGAGUGUACAUUCUUACACAAAUCCUGACCUUCUGGGGAGUUAUCCAAUUCACAGAGGGAAAGUAUUUUUGUAUUAGGAAAAAGUUAUUUUUAAAGAGGAAGUUUAAGGAUGUAUAAAUGCAAGAAAUUAAGCUUUUGAAGUGUAGAUAGGAAGGUUCCGGAUUUAGAAGACUACACAUGUAAUUAGAUAAGUUCGUAGGCACAUACCUGUAAAUAUUGCUAAUUUUGCUUUUGCCACUUUAUAGUACUUUGCAGAUAGGGAUAUUUUCUGUGCUGGGCGUGUGACAGAAGAGGAUCUACAACGUGUUGCUGCUGCAACUGGUGGAACUGUGCAGACUUCUGUUAACAAUAUUAUUGAUGAGGUUGUAAUCAUGCAUUGUUCUUCUUUUUUUUUUUUUAAUGUGCUUCUUUGAAUGAUUGCGCUAGGUUAGUAGCAGUGCAAGAGGUUCUAAUUAGUAUGCUACAUUUUUAUACUACUUGAACUUAUCGUCAUUGGUUUCUGAUGGUCUUGUGUAUCAAAGGUUCUUGGCUCCUGUGAAGUUUUUGAGGAAAAACAAGUAGGCAAUGAAAGGUUUAAUAUAUUCAGCGGAUGCCCUUCUGGCCAGACAGCAACUAUAGUUCUUCGUGGUGGUGCAGAUCAGGUAUUUCUUUUACAAGCUUAUAGCUUGAUCAGGCUUCAUUGUUAUUAACACAGUUAAUACUUGUGCUAUUAACUUGCGGCAAAUAAUUGUUCAGUUUAUUGAGGAAGCUGAAAGAAGUCUGCACGAUGCCAUCAUGAUAGUGAGGAGAGCUUUAAAGAAUUCAACUGUUGUCCCUGGUGGUGGUGCUAUAGAUGUAUGUUUGCACGAACCCACAUGUUUGAUAGGAAUGUUAUAUUUUGUCAAAGCUGAUCUUUCCACUGUUCUGGUAGAUGGAGAUAAGUCGGUUUCUGAGGCUGCAUGCGAGGACCAUUGCUGGGAAGUCCCAACUGUUUAUAAAUUCGUACGCCAAAGCCCUCGAGGUAAACAUGCAGAACUUUUUGUCAGCAAAAUUACCAUGUUCUAUCCUCUGAUUUUGUAAUGCACAUAUAUGAUUAGCUUUUGCAAGCCAUAUGAAAUGUCCUUUGAGCUUACACUUUUCCGUCUGUUCAUUUAUAAAAUGUUCAUUGCUUGUUGAUAGUGUACUAGGCAGUAUCAACUAUCGCUUUUUGUGAUAUGUUAUAGCUGGGAUUGGUUGUGUGAUGCCGUAAUUUAUGUGUUAUUUGCUAUUUUGAUGUUUGUUUAUUCUUGUGCUUAUCUUCUUUGCAGGUCAUUCCACGGCAACUUUGUGACAAUGCUGGAUAUGAUGCAACAGAUGUACUGAACAAGCUCAGACAAAAACAUGCAUCUGGUUAGCUUCUUUCUGUUUUCGUAAAUACGCUGACACAGAAAAUGGUUUUUUUUCUUUGAUGACGCAUAGGAUGCAUGCCUACUGCAGGUGAAGGUGCAAACUAUGGGGUGGACAUUAAUACUGGUGGAAUAGCAGAUUCCUUUGCUAACUUUGUAUGGGAACCUGCAGUUGUUAAGGUAUGCAUUAUGAUGUUAUGUUUUCUUUCCCCCCUUUACUCUUCACUUUUCAGUAAUCUUACCUGGGUGAUAAUUAUGAAUGCCAAUUGCAGAUCAAUGCUAUAAAUGCUGCAACUGAAGCGGCAUGUCUUAUCCUGAGUGUGGAUGAGACAGUUAAGAACCCAAAGGUACCAUUUACCCUUCAGAUAUAGAACUUAGAUUCCAUGAACGUUCUCUCUCUUUUACUAAGUUCAUGGUUCUUUGAUAUCUCUCCGUGGGUAAAAUUAUAUAUUUACAUGGAAGAAUGAAAGUCUCAGUGCAUUUUGGCUCCUAAUCAGCUGGAAGUUCCUUAAUUGCAAUGUGGUCUUAUUUUCUGUUAUUUUCCAUAGAUUCAACAUGGCUAAUGUUUGUGAAUAUGAUUGGCUUCUGCUCUCUUUUCGAAUAAAUCAAUUCAUUGUUCUUGUUAUUUUUCCCUGUUCAACACUUUGGGGUAAUUCUGUUCGAGCUAUAUUUUAUGGUAACUCUCAUUUUUAUUAUGUUAAACCAGUCUGAGAGUGCACAAGGUGAAGCAGCUGCAAGUGCGAUGGCUGGUCGCGGCCGUGGUGGAGCGGCAUUUAGAGGCCGUGGCGGAAGAGGCAUGCGAAGACGCUGAAAUCCAUUCCCCCGAACACCGAUCUUUGUAUUACUUUAAAUUAUUUUUAGGUCACCAUGAGUUUUGAGAGGGUUGCUUUUUGCGAGUUUUCUCAUGUUUUUGCUUUCUACUUUCAUUUCUUCUGCUUUAUGGGACAUUCAUCUGAUCAGUGGUUUGGGUAUAGUCUUGUUUGAAGUAGAAACUGUUGUAGCACUAGUAGGUUUUUCUAUCUGCCACAGUACAGCCUGCGGGCUGGCAAGAAACACUGAAGACUCUAAUUUGGUUCGGUGAGGUUGCCGAGGACUUACACUGGGAUCGCUCAUCAUUGCUGUGCAUCGGCUUAAAAGUCCGGGAAUUAGAAGGGCCAGUUUAUAUGUUCUGUACGCCGAUUUUGUUUUUUCUGUGGUAUUAUUCUGGCUAAAAAAGGUUCUUCGUGCGCUCUUGAAUGAAACUUUCUUUGUUUUUUUUAUUUUAAUGAUUUUAGUCGGGUGAUUUUAAUCAUUUUAAUUGGGUUAGUUGCUAUUCGUUCCGUGUCUGGAUGUUAUUUUUCUAGAUUUGAUUGUCUCUGGAUGUUAUUUUUCUAGCCCAAAUCUUUAUAACCAAUGUGUUUAAAUUUAAUAUAAGGCUAAUAUUAGAGAUUUGGUGAGCAUUCAUUUAUACAGUAGGAUUGUUGUUGAAUUUCCUGGUGUAGAAAGAUGGCGUUUGUUAGUGAUUGUUAGCGGUAUGAGUGCUGCGACCCUCUUAACUGCGCUGUCUGAACUUUUUCUAAUUGCAGUUUUAUUUAUUUUCUCCCCCCCUGUUUCUGGUUCAGUUAUGUUUACAUGGAUUAAGAAUUUUGUUAAAAUUUCGACCACGGCUGCUAAGAUAACUCAUUUUGUUAGCUGGUGGAUUUAAUUAAAAUUUCAAUUCGUUCCAUAACCGUAUUUAAGAUAAGCAACUUUGAGAAUAUCGAAGGAAAAGGAAAAUAGAUUGCCUUCUAAAAUGGCUUAUCAAUCAUGGUUUCCUGUAUUUUUUUUUUUUUAACCAUUAUUAUGUUACGCAUUGAGAUAAUUGCUUAUAAUCGUGGUGAACUAUGUGUUCCUUAAUAAUAAUUAGACCCAUUAUUAGUCUCUUAAUCAUCUAAUGAUCUAAUUACCUAACAGAUAGAGAGCUCCCAAGAAUGGAUAUAAAUUCGUGUGCUAUAAUAAGCAGAAAAUUAAGGUAGUGUGGUAGAAUAGAAAGAUAUAAGGACUUAAACAAGGACGUAAAAUAAAGAAAGAAAAAAAAGUAGACAACUCUACUCAACACUACAUGCCUGCUAUAACGUCCUGUUUCUCAUAGCGGCACACUCAUCAAGAAGAUAAGCAGUUCAUACGAUUAGCUCCAAGCUAAAACGACGAGCUGUGAAAACUUCAUGGAACGGAACAACAAGGCCCUAAACAAACCCCCAUAUCCCUGUUCUACCCUAAAAUUACAAGGCUCUUGCAACUAGAAGCAUUUCAUGAAAAUGCUUCUCUUUUACCUUCCAUAGCUAUAUAGUGGCACAACAUUGGCACUCUCACGAGCACCCGUCCUUUGGCUGCACAUGACCUGACAGGAAGGAUACACACAAAACCAUCUACUUACAGUGACGAAAGGGUUCGAACCAGAUGGAAGCAUGGUUCAGUAAGCCAGUACCACUUCCGUAAGAUUCAAAUGCCGAUCAAAACCACCAAUACUCAUCACUGAGGAGCUCAAUAGUUGCUAAGGGUCAGAACUUACUUCUAUCUAUGAAGAAUGUAGCAGAGGGGAGUUAUGCUCAUUUGAGAACGGGGAGUGGCGAAUUGGCAUCCAAAUUGGGUCGCGGUAUGCAGUGACCAACUUAUCAAAGAACUCUCCCAUGGUUGGAUCAUUCUGAUCUGCUCUGUCUUUCUUUAUCAAUGUCUGCAGAGGAAAUAACCCAAUCAGAUAAUGGGUUAACGGCAGCCUAGUGACCAACACAUAAACAGGAGUCCAAAUCAGAUUUAGAUAGGUGGUUAUCAUAUAUGUAAAAUUUAAGUACCUCGGCAGAAUAAGCUUCGAAAAUAGGCAGAAAGCGUUUUCUGCAAUAUUCAUUAAACAGGAGCGUAAGCACGGGAAGUGGUAGAAUCAAGCUUGACGCGAGAGGAACCUUUUUAAGCCCGAAUAUUCCGAUAGCAACUAGGUGCAUAAGUAUAAGAGAAAAUAUUGUGGUAUUGUGCACGAUGGGCCAAAAUCUUCCACCAGUAUCAUACUUGGGUGAGUAGACAUUGAAAAGCUGCAUAAAAUUUUCAACAAAUAGUCAUUUUUAAUUCAAAAUAAGUCAUAGAAUAAUAUAGACGAAUAGCCAUUUUUAAUUCAAAAUAGUUUAACAACAAGCAAGUAAAGAAAUAGUAAGAAAUGUGCAAAUACAUCCCCAUCACAUUACAGACUUCUCUUUUCUUUUUGAUUGAUGAACUUCGUUAACCAUGUAACUUCUAUCACUUUUAUUACAAAUUCAGUAUUUGCUCAUACUCUGUACCGUUUGGAUCGGGGAUAAGGGGAGGGAUAACCCCUUAUCCCCCUUCGAGAAUAGUAGUUCUCGGGUACCUGGUAUAACUAUCCCCACCAACACAUUCAUUUUCUAUAUAUAACUACUCACUAUUUUUCUUAUUCCAUAUUAUCUAUCCAAACGCUAUUUUUCUUAUCCCGGAAACAACCCAAUUUUCAUCAAACGCUAUUUUUCUUAUCCCCAUACUUGUACCUAUCCUGUAAUAGCUAGUUCUUGCUUAUACCCGAACCAAACGCUAUUUUUCUAGAUUCAUCACACGGCCUAUAUUAUUAACUCUCAGAUUCAGAAUUCCAAUUACAUGCAGACAAACUGCUAGGAUUCCUGAAGGCAAGAAAUGGGGAGGGAUUGGACGAGAUUUUGGUGCAAGUCCCAGUUGGAAGGAUUGAGGGUAUGGGUGUUGAGGGCCAAUCUUCCAAUUCUCAAAUAUGAGGGGAAGAAAGAAAGGAAUAUCCAAUAGCAUGUAACCCACCUAAAAUGGCUCUGGCAGUAUAGAUCUGCAAUCUAACCUGUUGUUCAUAAUGAUAAGGAUGCUUCAAGGUAAACUGGGCUCAUGCCUAGACACCAGGAACACCAGCAUGCUUGCAUACAGAGAAUUUUCAAUAAAAUAGUAGUAGAUCAUCUUCAUUGAAAUGAAUAGCACAAUUCAGGCAUGAGUCAUUAGGAUACUCAAAUGCCACUAACAUGAAUCAACUUAAAUGGAGCAUAAAAUUAAAGUUUCUGUAACUUGCAUAUUAUCAGAAGAUUCUCCUAUUUCUCAUGAAAAAAAAGGAAAAGGAAAAUGAAUAAUUAUGCUAAUCUCGUCUUUUUAAUAAGGUGUAGUAUUAAAACAUGAAACAGAAUGAAGGGGGGGGAAAAUGUAUAAUAGGGAAUAGGGGGAGGAGAAAAUAGAAUAUUCUACUUACCUGAUUGCGAUAGAUGAUGUAUCCAAUGCAGAAGAAGACCAGUAUAAAUGGCAGAAUAAGUGGAGCUAAAAUAAAGUAUGUGAGACCAAGCAGCCCAAAUAAGAGAAUCCUAGGUAUUUCACUGUGGUAAGAGAUAGAUGGUAUCUGAAAUUCAUCAUCCUCAUCACUCUUACAUGAACAAUGCUUCCCUAUCAAAUUACAAAUAAGAGCCAUAGUUCGAGUGAGCUCUGAAGAUAAGCUAGUCCAUGAUGUCACCACAUACGCAAUGAAAAAGGAGGCCUGAAAAAUUAAAAACUCUUUUAUUGACAUGGAUAUAAGAAGUAGAUCAAGAUGCAAAUAUAAAAUGCCUCAAGGUCCUGAUAAUUAGCCACCUAAUAACAGCGUUACAAAAUGCUUAAAGUGAAUAUACGAUGCCUCAAGGAGCAAUUAGCCCGAGCAUGAUAUUACAUAGUAGUCAUGGCAAAAUAAUGCAUUUCCGCAAAGCAAAAUAAUACAGCACCUGUUAAAAAAGAGAUAAAUGAUCUUACCUGUGCUGGUACAACAACAGCUAGUCUUACGGGAAUCUCCUUCGGAUCAAGAAUUAUCUGAAGUAGACUGGUAGCUGAUCCUGUUAGAACAUUUGCAAAGAAGAUGCUCCAUAUAACAAACCAGAGCAUUUUGUCGCACGCACUUUUCUCAAUCUGACUAGUAGCUAUAUAUCCUUGCAUGGUGGAAAAAAGCUUCAUGAUUGGAGGCACAUAAGAGGAAAGAACGUGAAGAAUGAGACUGGGAAGAUACCCAGUAAUUAUUUGACUCACAACAGUUCUGCAAAUAUUAUAAUUUAUACAUCAGUAAAUUUUGCGGUGGUUCAACUUCAGUUUGGGUGUAUUAUUCACCUAAAAGCAGGGGAAAAAAAGACAGAUGGCAUGCUAUGCACAUUCAAACUAAUUAUCUAAGAUUAAGACAUGCUUUUCAGCUUCUACAGUGGAGCAUAUAUAUAAGAAUUAACACGGUUUCGCUAAGAUCAGGCACAUUGAUUUAUUAAUGAAGACAUAUAUAGAGCAUAUAGUAACUUCAAAUACGUACAUCUUCAGUAUGUCCUUAAGGAAGGGCAGCCAUGUCUCUAGCUGUUCCAAAUAAGUAAGCCCUUGAACAAAGGCAGCAACUAAGAGGAAAAUAAUAAUUAGGAAUAUAGAUGCCACAAAGACCACCAGCUUAGAAAUCCAUCUUUGCAUGAAUGACGUAGAAAAGAAAGGCCAGUAAACAUCAUUUGGUUCAGGGGCUUCCUCUGUUACCCAUUCUAUAGGAUUGUCCGAUUGUUGAAUUUUAAGAGCAGUUGCAGCACCAUACCUAGAUUUGAAGCAAACAAAGGCUGCUGGAAUUUCCUACAGUGUGAGUGCAAGACUUAUCAGUAAAACAGAUCACAAGAGCUGCAACAAUAAACUCUGAACAGAAAAUUCUCUAAUAUUCAUGUUGACGAGAUCAAAAUCCACGCAAUACACAAUACAUAUAUGAUAAUGCAUACAUGGUACUUCCUAAAGUCAACAAAACUCGGUGAGACUCUAGUUAUAUGUAUAUAUAUAAAGUGGAAACUACAGCCUCCCCCCAUGUGCCAUGUAGCAAGCUCAAAGUCAAAGACAAAGCAUCUCUAAUAAUGGGUUUAAGGAGUGUACAUAUUACCUUCCCAGACCCUACAAUUCCAAGAGGAGCCUUGUAAAAUGGGUGACACUUUAACAUUUUAUCAUCGAGCCAUGAAAUCUACAGCUUACAAUUAGUAGAAGAAACACUCUCUUUUAUCAGUAAAACAAAGGCUCCAAUUUAUCGCCACAUAUAAAAAUUUAUUUGCAAUUUAAAUAUAACAAAACCUGCAUUAACAUUUCUUUUUCAAUUUUCACAGAACUUCUGGAAAGUCAAAAUGAUGAGUUAUGCCUGUAGAAUAAGAGAACCAGAGAACCGGUAUGUUGAUGAAUAUAUUUAGAAUAAGUAAAUAACUUGUAAAAUCAGCAGUAAUAAAAAUUCAACUUCAGCAUAAUGAUGAAUAUUUUUGUUUUGCAAUCAAUAGAAUCUCCCAAUUUACUGGAUCAUCAGAAAAAUCUGAAACAGACUAGAAAUCCAAACUCACACUGGUGAUCUCACCAAAAAGGGUAAUAGUUCUACAUUAGAAGUCUAAGACAGAGAAGAUAAAGGAGACAAUAAAAAUUGAGAAUACUCUGUCAUCCAUGAAAUAUAUCGAUAACGUAACAAUUUAAGAGUACCUAUCUAGUAUCCACUAAUACGAAAGGUAGAUACAAAAUCAAGAAAAACAAUAUGCACCUUAUGUUCAGAGAAAAUUCAUAUUUCACCAAUGAAAGAACAUAUUCAGCAAUAUCAGGUCAUCAUUUGCAAUAGAUAGGAAGCAAAAUGAAUGCACCUCUUUUGUCACAGAUAUAUCUGACUGUUCUACUCUCACAUUUUCUUCAAGAUCUUCCAAUUUCUUCUCAUAACUGCCCAAAAGAUCUUUUUUUUUGGCAAACAAUCCAAGAAUGCCGCCAUUUCUGUGGUUUUCAGGAGUACGUGGACUGGAUUUCAAGUCAGUCAGUCUUCUAUAAAGAUUCUCGGAAUCAGUCUGGAUAAGAAUUGGCAAAGCCAUCGGUAUCAGAUGUUAAAGUCAGAUACAUAAUUGAAUGAUAAAAGACAUGGAGUAUCAUGAAAAGCUCAAAAUUUUACUGUUAAAGGAUGACAUCUUUUAGAAUAAUUUGCGCCACAUGCAAACAAACAAAAAAUUUCAUGACAUUCUCAGAUACUCUUACGAUAAAGGACAACCUAAGCAUCAACUCAACUUGCAGUGUGAUAAUUCGAUAUUGAAGCACUUUAUGCAAAAGGUAGAAUGUUUUCAAUGUGUGGAUCUAAUGGAAAGAUCUUUUUCUCCAAUAAUAGAUGAGCAUAAAACACUGACCAAGCAAACAAGCGUCAAUUCAUAAAAAGAAAUACAACUUAGUAUGUUCCGAUUUCAACCCCAAGUUCUCUAUUUCAAGAUGCUCUUCCGCUUUGAUGUUCAUCUCUGAUGAGAAUUGGGUGCAAGUGGCAUACAAAGUAUUCUCACAAUUUCCUCUUUUUUUUGUCCCAUUAAUUUCUUUACAUAAAAGAGAUUAACCUUGUAAUGGCCAUAGACAUAUUUUGGGUUUUAGAUACAUAGAAGAAUAAUUUCCAUACUGAUGGCUGAGAGUGACCGCCAGAACAAAAGUUCAAGUCUUGGUUCUGAUGGGUUCAGAAAAUUUUAAGAAACUUUUCAUGAUUGAUACUUUGACUUGAAAAUUUUUAAAGAAAAAAGGCUAACCUGUAUAAUGAUUAUCAGUCGAUAUGGAUCCAAUCAUACAGAGGAUACAAAUAUAUAGAAAAUUAAUUUAAAUCCUUACGAUGAGGCGUCGAAGUUUGCUUGUUUGAUGAACCACAGUGUGGCACAAGUAUGUAGAAGGAUGGUACUCCAUGAAGAAACUCUCAACAGUAUCACUGAUAGAACUUCCAUCACGCAAUGGUAUACCACGGACAAGAAUGGCGAAGUGAUGCGGUAGCGGUUUGGAUGCAAUGAAGUGGGCGAUCCUCUUACUAGAUAGAUACUUGUAUUCCUGCAGAAGGGAAAAAUUUAGACACUAAUAUCUAAGUAUUGGCAGAAAGAAACUAAAAGAGUUGUGUGUGUCACUACUAGAAUACUAGAAAUAGACAAAAGCACCAAAGACAUUUGUUGAAUGGACUAUCUUCUGAAGAUAUAUGCAUCGAAAGGACAGAUCCUUAAAAAAUGGAUAGCCAACUUCAGUAAAUAAAAUUGGCAGUGACUUGAUUGGAAACAUCAACAGAUACAUAACUACCGUGGGGGAAAAAAAAGAGAGAGAUACAUGUAUCUUCUGAAGAAUCAAGUAAAGACUCGCCACCAAAAGAAAAAGGAAGCAACAAUUAAAUUUACUUACAGAAUACAGUAGAUAGCACACUAUUACGGUGAUAAGAUAUGCAGCAGAGAAGUGAAACCAUAACCUGUCAAUGAUAAUAAUACAAGACUAAUAAGCCGAAUAUAGGAGAUAGUAAGUGAUGUUUUUAAGCUAUACCAGGCUAUGAUUAGAGAUCACAUCAAUUAACAGGUAACAGAGAAUCAAUCAAGAAACCUACACAACAUUCCCAACAUUAAGGGAUUAUGUUGAUCAACAAGUCAAUGCAAUAGCUAAAGCAAACAGGAUAUUCCCAGAAUCUUAGGCGCACGAAAACACAUCUGUAACUUAUGAUCAUCUGAACAAAAUUGAAGUCAAGACUUUUGCAACUAGUAACAUAAUUCUUUAGGGGAUCCAAAAUCGAAACGACAUUCAAGUUUGCCUCUAAACAGAUCCCAGCAGUUUUCGGUGAAGUUCCUAAAUCAUCUAGAAUGUCGACACCCUAAGCUAGUAUUUGGAAUUAAACAGCUAAUCAUGAUAAAUCACAUUCUCCCGCAUAGAAGUUAUCAUCAGCUUCACAUGGUAUUCGCCAAUAUGGAAAAGCAUAAAUUAGUAAGCACAAUUUACCUGUUCGAACCAUCCUUCACAUUUGAAAUGGUAAACAAAUCCAGCGAUUUGUUCGGGAUAUCGGAGAAGUCAAUGUCGCGCAGCUGAUCCCCCAGAUAAUUAACCGGAAGAAGAAUAAAUAUUCCUACAACCGCGGCAACAGAGAACACUCGCAAACUGCAUCAAAAUUUCACAAGAAAAAUAAUAAUAAAACUCAUAUAAAAAAUCAAGUUCCGCGUAGGGUUUCUGCGAAAUCACUAUCCAUCUUAAAUUACGAAUUGCUAAGCAAAGUAAAGAUCAAAAGGAAUAGAAACAGAUAUCCCCAGAGAAUGCUCAGAUAAGAACAAAUCCAGCUAGGAUUUCUACAAAUCUGUAUCUAUAGCGAAUCUGAGAAAGAAACAAAAGACUCAGAGAGAGAGAGAGAGAGAGAGAGAGAGAGAGAGAGAGAGAGAGAGAGAGAGAUUUAGGACCUAAAGAUGAAGAUCCUCAUGAAGACGACGCCAUCGAGGCCGGAGGCUCCGAGGAGGUCGUCCUCGGAGGGAUCCCAUGCGCGGCGGACCCAACCGGUUGAGGGGAGGAGGUUCUCGAUGUUGAACUGGCUCGGCUGGCGCGCCCUCCCAUCGGCGACGAGCCGCGGCGCGUACACCUCGAGGUUCCCCCGCUGCUUCCGGAGGACGGAGUAGAGCGCGCAGAGGAGGACGGUGAGGCCGAGGUUGAUCCCCACCGACGUCGCCAAAGCCGACACGAUCAUCGCAACUCAAGCUCCUCCUCCUCCUCUUCUUCUUCUCGCUUCGAAGGUCGGAGAGGGGAUAUCGAUCGGAGGAAGCAGGAUCGAUCGAGAGCUUCCUCCUCCUCCUCUUCUUUCGAGCUCGAAUCAAAGAACUCGAAGAUCGGAGUGGUGAUCGGACGAAGAGGGAUCGCUCGAGCUCUUCUUCUUCUUCUUCUUCUUCUUCUUUCUCGUCGUCGUCGUCUUCUUCUUCUUCUUUCGAUCUCGGAGGGGCGACGAUCGUAGGAGGAAGAAGACGAAAGAGGGAAAAGGGCGUGCGAUGGGGGGAAGGGAUCGCGCGCUCGAGGAGGAGAGUACGUGGGAGAAGAGUGGGAGUGAGAGAGGGGCGGGUUCCGAUUAGUAAACAAGUUUUUGUGUGCGAUCGCCUAGGGUGGUGACGUGCACGUGCCAACAAAAACGGCCGCGCCCAAAACACGUGGAAAUUAUUCACGAACACGGUUUACCACGUCAUCUGUGGACCAACGAAUGCGAAUGUACUAUUUUGUGAUAAGUGACUAUAAAUUUAGGGAAAACUUCAAAAACCCUCUUGUGGUUUCGUAGUUUCUCACUUUGCCCCUCUGUGAUUUAAAGUGUAUCAAUUUGUUCCUCUGUGGUUUCGUUUUUAUUUUUUCGGUGAUUUUUUCGUUAAUAUUUCGUUAAAUUAUAUACAAAAAAGUUUAGAUACCCAUCUAUAUUUAUCAAAUAUUCACUUUAGUACCCUUUAAUUUUAACUUUAUUACUAAUUUAAGAAAAAAAUAAUAAAAUUGAUAAGAAAAAGAGAAAAACAAAAUCACAGGAGGGCAAAUUAAUACAUUUUAAAUCACAGGGAGGCAAAGUGAGAAAUUAUGAAACCACAGGGAGGUUUUUUUGAAGUUUUUCCAUAAAUUUAUAUUAUUUUUUCAAAAUAAAGCGAAGAAAACACCAAGCUCUAUUCGACUAGAACUUUGGAUAGCAGUUUAUGAUCUAAGAAUCGAUUUUUGGACACAGUAAAGAUAUAAUUAGAUAAGAUAAUUUUUUUUAUAGACAAUGAAUUACAGAUCGGAUUAAAAAGCUGUUUAUGCUUGCUGAGUUCUGUAGAACUGGUCCAGGGAAGAUCAUUACUGGAGUUUUUGACUCUGAGAACGUGGAGGUUUCCAGAAACAACAGCAAUUGAUGUGUUUCUUUGAAUAAAUAAAGAAAUAAGAAACAAUAAUAAAUAAACAAAUAAAUAAAGCCAGUUAUUAAUCCACAGUGUCUCGAAAAAGCAGGGGUGUUGUGUGAGAGCCACGUUGGGGAGGAUGGUAUAAGAUGGUCGGUGAGGUGUUAGCCUUGGCUCUGAGUGGGUGGGGAUGUGGCGCAAUCUCAAGCCCACGGAAUGAUUAAAUUAUGUGCAUUGUGCAAAUUUAUUAUUUCUUGCAAUGCUUGCAAUUGACUACGUGUAGUAUGCAUUUAAUAUUUUUUUUCCGGAAUUUGUUCUUUUUGACUCCGCCUCUAUUUGCUAUUGCGGGUAAGCUAAGUUGCUUAUAAAAUUCAAUUACAAAAUAUUUCGCUUAUUUUUUAUGUAAUAUUAUGCUACAUAAUAUAUCACAAUAAAUUAAUUAUAAUAUAUUUUUUAUAACUUAACUGAAAAUUAAGAAAAAUUUUAUAUUCUUUCGUUUUAAUUUUGUUUGACAAGAUUUAUGGGCUGAAUAAUAAAUAUAAUACAUUCAAACGAGCCAAUGCUUUAUUGGCCUAUCAACUGUUAUAAAAAUUUGUAAAUGGAUACAAUAUUUUUUCUUAGCUAAUUCCUAUUGAUGGUUUUGCCUUGAUUGUGAAUUGUAAACAAGUUGCUUGACAUAAUUUUACGCACCAUGAUGAACACAACUGCAAGUCCACAACAGAAUUUUAUAUAAAGAUAAGCAAUUCCCACUAAUAGUCUCGCAAUCAGAAUAAAAAUAAAGUUUGCAGUGCGUCUUAUUAAGAAGGUUACAAACAAUCACAUAUAUAGCAUUUCUAAAUUACAUGAAAAACGAAAUCUUAUGCAAACAAUCAAAGAAACUAUAAUUAUAACAAAAUAAAAAGAAUAAUAUCAACCAUCUUCACUGGGCUAAAAUUAAGAAGCCCAUUAGAGUAACUUCUUUUCCUGGAUUCACCAAAUCACUCUCUAUCAACACAAAUUUGCUUAAAAUUCAUAAUUAAUACACCUCACGGUUAGACAAAGAUCAUCUUCUGAUCAGUAUAUUUGUUCAAGUGAUAUAGUAGUUUUUGUGUCGGCCGUGAGGAAUAUCUUAUCAAAGACCUUUCACCUCCCCUGGACCACCGGCGACGGAACUGUGGUUCCAGAAUCGCCGCUGACGAAGGUGGUACCUGCGGCGGCUCCGCCGAUCUCGGCAUUACGAUGACCACUUAAGCUCGUCAUCGGAAUCUCCUUCGCAUUGCUCUCCGACGGCUCACUUCCGGAGGACGCCGCCAUCGCCUCUUCUUUCUCCUGCAGCUGCAGCGCGCACUCGAGUUUCCACAGCACGUCCCCCAUCGACGGCCGAUCGACACCGUAGUCGGCGAGGCACUUCUCCGCCGCCUCGACGUACUUGCUCAGCGACACCGGCUUUAUCGCUCCCGCGAUCUGCGGGUCGAUGAUCUUGUCGAGCUGGCCCUUCCGGUGCCACUGCAGCGCCCAGUCGGCGAGGUUCACCUGCUCCCGCGGCAGCGCCGGGUUGAUCGCGGGCCUCGUGCAGAGCACCUCGAAAAGCACCACUCCAAACGAGUACACGUCCGACUUCUCCGUCAGCUGCUGCCGCCGAAAGUAUUCGGGGUCGAGGUACCCGAAGCUGCCCUUGACGGCGGUGCUCACGUGGGUGUGUUCGAGAGUAGGCGCCGCCUUCGAGAGGCCGAAGUCAGCGACUUUGGCCACCAAAUUGUCGUCGAGGAGGAUGUUGGUCGUCUUCACGUCGCGGUGGAUGAUCCCCUGCGCCGCGCCGGUGUGGAGGUAAUGCAGCCCCUUCGCCGACCCGAUGCAGAUCUCCAGCCGCUGCUUCCACGAAAGCGGGUGCUGGUCGGCGCCGUAGAGGUGGUCGCGGAGCGGCCCGUUGGCCAUGUACUCGUACACCAAGAUCAUCUCGCUGUUCUCGUCGCAGCACCCGAUAAGCGACACGAGGUGGCGGUGGCGGAGCUUCGACAGCAUCUGGAUCUCCGUGAGGAACUCGUUGAUCCCUUGCUGCGACGACGGGUUCCCUCUUUUGAUCGCCAAUUUGGUCCCGUCGUCGAGCAUGCCGAGGUAGACCUUCCCGAAGCCGCCGACGCCAAUCACGGCCUUCUCGUCGAAGUUCUUGGUGGCCUUCUGCAUCUCGGCGAAGGUGAAGUAGCGACCGACACCGUACGUGCUCGACGCGAAGAGCCCGGAGAAGCCGCUCUUGCUCCGCGACACUGCAGAACCAAACCGGCUCCUAGAGCAGCUUCUCUUGCUGUACCCACUGAGAAAACUUGAUUGGCUGGCGUUGAUCGGGAGAAGCCAAGACGUGAAGCUGUUGUUGCUCUUCUGCUGGUAGCCGUGCGGCCGGCAUCUCCAGCGGCAGAACGCGACGACCGCGACCGCCAUGGCGAUCACCGCCAUCGCGAGCCCGACGCCCGAUAAAAUCAUCUUCCCGACGCUCGCUGUAGCCCCUGGAAUUUUACCAUUGACCGAGUAGAGGCCGUCGAGGCUGCCGGCGCCGUUGCUCAUCUUCAUCACCUCGAUGCCGUUGAGAAUCGCAUUCGGGUUGCCGGAAUCCGAACCGGGGGACGGCCCCACCUGGACCAUAAUGGUGGAGUUGACGAUCGCCGACGAGUCGAGCACGAAGUCCGUAUAGUAGGCCACGGCGAGGCCCAUCGUCAAGCUCGAGAGGUCGAGGUUCGCGACGCCCGUUAGGCCAUUAAGGUACACGUUGAAGUAGAGGCUGUUCAGUGUUUUGCUCACGAUAUCGCAGAAAUGGAGCCGGACGAGGUAGGAGAACCCGGGCUCCGCCGCCAUCUCCCACGUUAUGUUAAAAUUGGCGGCGGUGGUGUUCGACUGCGCCAUCUGCUGCGCCGUCGCGUAGACCAUGGCCGGCGCGGUGAGCGGCGUGAGCGAGCUGUCGUCGGGGUAUUUUAUCGUGCCGGGCGGCACGCGGGCGUCUUCGGCGGCAGCCGCCAGAGUCAAGAACGCGGCGUCCGGAAUCCACGUUCUCGCCAGCGUGUCGUUGAGCGGCACGAUCAGCGGCCCGCCGACGUUCAGCCGGUACAUCACCUGGAGGGCGUUGUUCGAAACGUCGACAUUUCCGCGUCCAGGAGAUGCCGCCAAGCCGGUGGUAGUGUUCGGGAGGAGAUUCGGGGGGGCCGAGACGACCUCGACAGCGUUGACGAAUGCGUUGGAGCCCUUCUUCGGGUCGAAGAAGAGGUUCAAGCUGCUUCCUUCUACCGUCACUAGAUAUUCUUUCAGGACGGGGGACGGGGCGGCGGAGGUUUGGAACGAGAAGUCGUGGAGGAGGACGAAGUCGUCGGUGGUGACUGAGAAAACAGCGGAAGAGAGGUUGUAGUUGGGAUUCUGAAACGGAAAGAAAUGGAGCCGGAUCCAAUGGCGACCGGGCUGCGCGAUGAAGAAGCUGUAGGUGGACCGGUCGGAGAAGACGCGGGCGGUGAGGUAGAUCGGGGGGAGCGGGGGGGAGGCGGCGGCAGUAGUAGGGGGUUUGUCGGCGGCGAUUUUGACGUCGACGGGGGUGGAGAGGAAGGAGGAGGAGUCGGGGUCGGACCGGAAAGUGCGGCCGUCGUCGAGCUGCGUGUUCGAGGGUGCACCGCAGUCGAGGAGGUAGUUGUCGCGGGGAUCGAAUUUUUGCAUCGGUGGCGGGACGGCGCGAAUGGUGGCGGUGGUGGUGAGGAUGAGUAUGAGGAGGAGGAGGGAGAAGAGUGGUGGUGAUCUCCUCAUGGUGUGUGUGUGAAUAAGGGAGAAGGGAGGAGGAAUAGUUAGUUAGUUAGUAGUAGCGCCUCCUCAUCUCGUAGGAGAGGGGAUGGAGAGGAGAGUAAACGACUCCGAGCCUUUUUUUUUUUUUUUUUUUUUUUUGGAGGGAUUUGAUUUUGUUGAGAUAGAAAAUUUUUUAAAAAAAUCUAAAAAAUUUAAACAAAAAAUAGAAAAAGAAAAAUUGAGGAUUCAAAUUUGUGGGUUGGAGGCACGUAAGGAGGGGAUCAAAACUUAGCAUUAAGUAAAUAAUAUAAACUAUAUAUAUAUAUAUAUAUAUAUAUAUAUAUAUUGGGCGAAGAAUCCAAACUACUAAUUUCUUGACCAAAUCUAAAAAAAAGAAAAAAAAAAACUUGGACUGUAGACGUGGGGGCCAUAUUUGGGAUGGACCAAAAGCAAAAGUUUGACCAGCUUUAAUGGGCCUGUGGGAAGAAAUUAUUACCUGCUCCUGGUGUAUACGUUGUAAUUUAUGCACCACCGCCAAAUUUUAAUGAUCAAAAAAUAAAUGCAACGGCCAUUAUCUAAAUAGCCUAUACAUAUAAAAAAAAAAAACUUAAUUUUUCAUGUAUAUAAAUUUCUUUUAAUAUUAUAGAAUAUAUUUAAUAAAUUGCAUUUUAAUUUAUAGACUUUUAUCAUAAUUCUUAAUAAAUGUAGUGUAUGAGAUGUAUUUAUACAUCGGGUACAGGUGAUAACUAAUGCGAGGUUGCCCACAAAGGCAAUCUCUCCUAUAAGGAUGGCCUAUAAUAACCAGUUGGACCGGUUUUAAAUGGUUACAGCUAAUACCUACGUGCCUUUUUAAAUUCAAAAAAUGUAACGUAUGCUGGCCCAGAAAAUGAGUAUUCUUAAUUAUGAGGGGCCUAAUCAAAUAUUGCACCUCAUAAGACCAUGAAAUAUCCCCUCUAAUACUGUUAACUUAAGCUCCUUAACUCAAAAUCUUGAGUCCACCAAAUUGUUUAGUGGCCCAGUUGAUAAUUUAAAUAUCUUUCUACACAGAAGAAAAAAAAAUGUAGUUACUCACGAAUUUGAUUUUGGCCUGUUUUACAAACUUCUCGAUCCAUCAGAAGUUGUCUUAAUCAUCAAUAUGUUCUUCUUCUAGUGAAAUUAGUCUCUCUUGUUACGAAUCGGCUAUCAGAGUCGACCGCAGCAUACCGGUCAAAUUUAAGCUCCAAUAAAUAUCGUGUUAAUUAAUCACUAUUCUUGGAUUCAAUAGAAAAAUAAAAAAAGAACCACCGUUUUCUUGCGGAUCUUAAAUUUACUGCCAUGGCCUUAAAGUACGGCAGAGAAAGUACUUGUUCACAAAUUUUCCCUAAUGAGACCACACCGGGCCGUAUUCUUAUGGGACAAUUAAUUUCAUUGGGUUAAAAAAGGAGUCACUUAGGCCUGAAUAUCUAGAUCUUCUUUUCUAGUCCGUUCGCGCGCACGACCGUUCCUAACGUAAAUAACAAAAGACCAGAUAAUUAGUACUAAAGGUUUUAGGUUUGAAAUCUAGUUAUUUUAUCUUCCAGUUAAAUUUAUGUCCAAAAGAAAUGAACGUCACAGAUAGCAUUCUCUUUAAAAAAAGUAAAUAGUAUGCUAUAUUUUUGGAUUCAAAUGCAAAAUUUCAAUCAAUGUAUCUGUAAAGUAAUUAUCAAUUGAAUUUUAAUGCAAUUUUGCAUCUAUUAGUGGAGAGUUUCAUCCCCUGUGUUUAUUCAUUCUGUUACGGUAAAAAUCGAAAAAAUAAAGUUUGUCAAAUUUGAAAAAGAUUAAAAAAAAAAGUCGAGAAAGGAAGAAAAAAAUAUAAGCACAUAGAUAAUUUAUGUGAUUUGGCACUAUCUUAAGUCCACAGGCAAAAUAUAAUCAAAGCAAAAUACAAAAUAUGUCUCUCUAAAAAUAAAUCUUAGCUCCAAAAUAAACUCUACACUCUUGAAUUUACAGAUUUUUUUUUUCCUAUUCAAUUUCCACUGUUAAGAAGCUCAUUUAGAAUUUUCAUUAGACCAUUCAUUGUCACUUUUCCUACCUAAUUAAAACAUUAACAACUGUCAAAUUUAGCUUAGCAUUGCUAUGUGGAUCGAUAUCUUUUUAAUUCAGUAAAAAAAAAAAAACAAACAACAAUUAAUAGAUAAAGAGUAUGUAACAAUUAAAAUCACUCGCAUCUUAAGACACACUCAAAUAUUACAUAUAUAUAUAUAUCCACAAUAAAUAAAAUUUUCUUUCGUAGAACAGUGCAAAUUUAUCUUAUUCGGGCAUUUAAACAGUUGGGGAUGCAUCGUAUGGCUCACGAAUAUAAAAGCAUUAUUAGCCUCGUCGAUGAUAAGCUAAUUAAUUAAACACGUUUGUUGUUUUCGAUCCUCUACGUAAGCUAUUACGCCAUCGGCACACGCACACGCACACGCCACGCUUUAUACAAUGCGACACGCACUUCUCUCCACUCUUAGUCAACAACAACAACAACAAUCUAUGAAAUAUAAAAUUUGAGGGUUAAGUCACACCAACAAAUCCAAUCUUUAGAAAAUCACGUCCUCCCUUAAAACAACACCCGCUACUGGAAAUUAUCACGUGCCUAAUAAAUAUUUCGAUGUGCUCAUUUUAUUGUAAACUAACUCUAAAAUGCGUAUCAAAAAUAAAAUUAUGAUACUAUAUAUAAUAAAUUAUUUAAAUAUUUUAUACCAUAUAUAUUAUAUCAUAUUAUUUUACACUAUUAAUUACUAAAUACUCUAUAACUUAUAUAAUGUUCUAGACGGUGUAUAAAAAAAUUAAUACACACUAUAUGCAGCAAAGAUUUGUUCUCUCUUUUGAAAUUAUAUGUGCAUUAACUAAGCAUUCUAUGCAUCGGCUACUUAGACUAUAUACUCAACAUCCUUCGGUAGAGAUUUUAAAAUUAAUUCGUUAAAUAUAGUUUCUUUCUUUUCAAUUAAUUUUAUCAAGGUAAAGACACUCUCACUUAUUCUUCAAUAGGAAAUAAGCCCGUAAAUAUUAACUUUUUAUUUAAAAAAAUUUAUUUAUAGAAUAGUCAACAAGACUAUAAAAUUUGAUUAAAAUUUUAAAUAAAAUUAUUAGAAUAAUUCAACUUUAUAAAUAUUGAAAGGUAAGAAAACAGUGAUUAAAGAAAAAACCUAUUUUGUAUAAUAUACAUAAGAAUAUUUCAUGGACUUUUUUUUUAAUUUAAUAUUUUAUUUAUAAAAUUUUAUUAACUAUAUAUAUUUUAAUUAGUUGAAAUAUUAUUCUUUACUAGGAGUUGAGCUAGAAUACUCUUAAAAAUAUCAGGGGGUUGGUACUUUUGAGCUUUUAGCCAUUGGAUGAAGAGAUGUAAGAUUGAAAUGAUGGUGGUAGGUGGAAUAAUGUUUGAUCUAAAAAUUAUUAAUAAUUAAGGAGUAGAUUCAAUGGCUAGAAACUUAAAAGCACCAAAAAAUUAUUAUUUUUAAGUGUAUUUUAGCUUAAUUCCCUUUACUAGUGUACACUAUCACAAUGGAAACGUAUACUGAUUACUUGCUGUUCUUUUUUUUUUUUUUUAAUAAAAAGAAAAAAACAUGUUUGUUGUUUUUGAUCCUUUACGUAAGCUAUGACACCGUCGGACGCCACGCGCUUUAUGUAUAUAUCUAUAUCUAUAGUCUAUAGUAUAUAUGAAUCCUCAGUUUUGAACACGUGGCGAGCGCGGAGGCGCGGGCAGGGGCGAGCGCGGGGCGCGGGCAAGCGAGCGCGCCUGGCGGGGCGCCGUGUGGCACGGGCGCGCGGGGCGCGGGCAGGGGGGCACGGGGGGAGGGGCGCCGCGUAUAUAUAAAGCGCGCCACGCACUUCUCUCCCCUCUCCUCAUUACAGUAGAUUCACAACUCGCUAUCACUUAUAUCUACUCAACAACAACAAUCACAAUGGAAACGUUUACUAAUUAUCUCUCGCUCCUUGUUGCUGUUCUGCUCAUUCUCAUCAUCAAAUUUUCGUUUGCUUCGGGGAAAAACAAUAACAAGAAGCUGCCGCCGAGCCCGCCGUCGCUGCCGAUCAUCGGCCACCUCCACCUCGUGAAGCAUCCCCUCCACCGCGGGCUCGCGGCGAUCUCGGCCCGCUACGGCCCCGUACUCCUGCUGCGCUUCGGUUCCCGCCGAGUGCUCGUCGUGUCCUCCCGCGCCGCGGCCGAGCAAUGCUUCAGCGCCAACAACGACGUCGCCUUCGCCAACCGGCCCCAGCUCCCCUCGCUGAAGCUCUUGACCAACGGAUUCACGACCCUCGGCUUCGCCAAUUACGGGCCGCUGUGGCGCAACCUCCGCCGCAUCGCCGCGGGUGAGGUCCUCUCUGCCCACCGCCUCACCGCCUCCGCCGCUUCCCGCGCCGAGGAGGUGCGGGGAUUAGUGAAGAGGAUGUUCUUGGAUUGGAAAGCCCAAAAUAAGGUACUAGCUACUGCAAAUUUUUCUUAGUCUUUUUUUUGCAAACCUCUGUUAUUUUGCUUAUCCGCCCUUCUGAGGUUUUAGCUACUCCACCUUAUGUAGCUAAAUAUAUUUUCUUUUUUUCAAAAGUAGCAUGCUAUUUUUUUUCUAAAAAAAAAGCUACUUCAAACUUUUACAACCAGACAUAUUGAAUCUAAGAGAUGUGAAUGGCCUAUCACUGCUCGCCAACGGGAGUGAGAGGCAGUUCAACUGCAUCUAUCUAUGGCCCCAGACAGAUUAGCAAUAAUUGCUAGGUGCUGAAAAUAAAUAAUUGAGACCAUCCUUAUCCGGACAAAAAUUUUGAGGGCACCGUUUCCAAACUAAUAGUUUGGGGACGACGUGGAUGGUCACGUGGUGGAUCCGACGACUGUCCUUUCCUGCUUUUUUUUUUUUUGUCUUUCUAAAAAUAUAGAGUAAUUUUUUUUUUUUCCUUUCUAUCGGUGGCCGUCGGAUGGACCACAUGGCGCCCAUCCACAUAAUCCCUAAAUUAAUUAUAAGGAGACUAUGCCUAUAAAAUUUUUGUCCUCUUUAUUCUUGUAGCUUAAAUUUUUAUAAAAAAAUAAAUUAUUAUUUAAUAUAGUGUGAGAACUAAAGUUUUAGUUUUAUUUAAUUUCUACUCUUAUUUAAUUAUUUGAUGUAGUUCAAUAAAUUUGAAUGUUAAAAAAUAGACUAAAUUGCGUGGAAAACUUUGGUCCCCAAAUUCUAGUUUUCUACAUAUUUUAUUCAGAAUUUUUAAAUUAUUAAUUAUAAUUAAGUUUUAUGAUCUAAUUUAGUUGGUUAAAUAAUAGUAUAAUGCUAAUGUGGUAGUAAUAUAAUAAUGUUGUCAUGGCUUGCUAAAGUGAUAAUGACUAAGGUACCGAUUGCUAUCAUAUUAGUAAAACAUUAGCACAUGCAUGCCAAAUCAAUUAAAUUAUAUUAUAGCAUUUAAUUGUAAUAAUAAUUAAAAACAACGAGAAAAUUAUAAAAAGUUAAUUUUCGACCAUCAAAGUGGCACGCGUCUCAGAGUUUGCGGAUCAGAAGUGCAAUUUUCCCUACAAAAUACCUUCCAAAAGCAAUCCAUUUUUAAAGGAUUGCAUCUUGAGCCUGAAAAUUCUAAUUUCGAUUGUUCACAAUUAGUCAUAUACAUACCACCAUUUAUAAUUAUCGCAGGUCAUCGCUUUAUGUAAUUUUUCAAUUUAAUUACGAUUCAUUUUUGUUCUAUUAUAUCUCUAAUAUUAAUUUGUGUGUAUCGAACACCUUUUAUUACGGUAAAUCUCUGAUAGGAUAAUGAGACUUGGUUCACCAAAGUGGACAUGAAGACGUGGCUGUUCGACCUAGCGCUGAAUGUGAUGUUGAGGAUGAUAGCAGGGGAGAGAUACACCCACACAAACCGCGGCGAGGGCGCCGCGGGGUCGGACACGGCGAAGCGCUUCAGGGCGAUGGUCGAAGAGACCUUCUUGGUGUUGGAUUCGACCUCGAAUUUGGGCGAUUUCGUUCCCAUCUUCAGGUGGUUGGAUAUCGGCGGGGCCGAGAAAAGGAUGAGGAGAGUGGUGAAGGAGAGAGGCGAGCUGAGCCAGGCGAUGGUGGACGAGAAGAGAAGAGAGAGCGGGGAGGAGGAGAAGGAGAAAACUAUGAUCGGAGAUCUGCUAUCUUCCCAGAUGCAGGAUCCUGAUUUCUACUCCGAUGACAAUAUCAAGCGACUUGCUGUCGUGAGUAUCUUAAUUAGGUUUAUAUAUAUAUCUGUCGCAUGUAUGUAGUUGGACCGUACGUCCACUAUAUAUAUAUAUAUUGAAUCGCUAACAAUAUUGCUUCAUAUAUAUUUUGUCCUCGUGGAAGAGUUUAUUAUCGGCGGGAACAGAUACCACCUCCAAUACUCUCGAGUGGGCCAUGUCGCUCCUCCUCAACAACCCUGAAGCCCUGAGAAAAGCCGCGGCGGAGAUCGACGCUCGCGUGGGCACCGACCGCUUAGUGGAGGAGUCGGACGUCGCGAACCUCCCCUAUCUCCGCUGCGUCGUCACCGAGACUCUCCGCCUCUACCCCGGCGGGCCCCUCCUCGUCCCCCACGAAUCCGCAACGGAGCUAACCAUCGCAAACUACGUCGUGCCGCAAGGCACAAUGCUACUGGUCAAUGCCUACGCCAUACACAGAGAUCCUGCCGUAUGGCGGGGGGCCNUUCAAGCCGGAGAGGUUUGAAAUUGGGAAGGAAGAGAAGGGGUGGAUGAUUCCGUUCGGGAUGGGGCGGCGACGGUGCCCCGGGGAGGGCCUCGCGACGCGGGAGGCGUCGCUGGCGCUCGCGACGAUGAUCCAGUGCUUCGAGUGGAGGAGAACUGGAGAAGAAGAGGUCGACAUGACUGAAGGAAUGGGGCUUACACUGCCUAAGGCGUCGCCUCUCGAAGCCUUGGUUCGACCGCGUGAGCACAUGAUCCAUUUGCUUUCGAAGAUCUAAAUUCCUUACGAGAUCGAUGUGCUUAUGUUUACGAUGUACGUAUUAAAAAUAAAAGUAUUUUAGCGCAACUAUAUAUUUUAGUAAUAAUUAGUAUGCUGCUGUGUUGUCUGUAUGCAGAUGUUGUAACACAGUUUGUGAGAUCUAACUUUAUAUUAUGUAAUCCACCGUUGCUGCGUGCAUAAAUAAUAAUCUUUUAUAUAUACACUGCUUAGUCGUUUAAAUAAUAGAACAUAGAUUACAUCAUUCUAUUGUUCAUUUUUCAACAAUUUUAUUUUGAAAUUUAACCAAAAAAAAAAAAAAUCUUUGUAGUUUGAUAUAUAUCGAGUUCCAUUACAUAUCGUUCGAGCACUUUAAUUUUAACCGUUUUAUCUUUGUGUCGUGCAGCAAUAUAAGUCAUUCUAGGGGAUUACUUGAUGCUAAAUAUGAUGUUGCGAUAGCAUGCAUCAUCAUUAAAAUUUAGUGAAACUAUAUUUUUUUUUAGCAAUUUUAAUAAUUGAAUUGGAAUAAAGAAUCUCAAAUAAUUCAAUAUGAUUAAAUAUAAAGAUUUGAAUUUGUAAAUAAAUAAUUCUUUUAACAUUCUCAUUUGUCAUUCAAGAGAAGAUGAGAUAGAUUGAAUAGCCAAAAAAAAUUGCAAAACAAUAAUCGUUCGUAGUUAAAUUUUUGAUAAAAUUAUAUUCCCAUUCGUAUUCUUAUUUGCUACCUCCAUGGGAUCCCACAAAGGUAACUGUGGAUCUGCCAUUGUAUGUCACAUGCUAGGCUACAAAUGUGGCAACAAAUCCAACUCCAACCUUCAAUUUUCGUCCUUGAUGUGUGUGGACAUGGAAAUGUACAAAUGGAAAGGAUGAAAAAGAAGUAAUAAAUAUGACGUGCUAAUUUAUAAUGACGUGGUGCGACAGUUAUGCCUAUAUACAUAUUUAAAAAAUAGAUAUAAUUUUACUUAUACUGUCUAUUUAAAAAACUAUAUUUCUAUGCUAGUCAUGCUAAAUAUUUUUAAAAUAUUAAUAAAUAAUAAAUUUUAAAUAGAUAAAUAUAAAAUUUAUAUUUUAUUUUUGACUUAUAAAUAACACUUUUUACAUAAAUUAGGAAAGAGCUAUGCUAUACUAUCGAACACAAAAGGCAUAUAAAACGUUUUUUUUUAAGAAAUAGUGCGCGUUCGUUCGUUUUAUUCGACAGGUUAGGUAUCCAUCCUUUCAAUAAAAGGCAUAUAAAACGUGUUACUUGUUUCCUCGCACUGUAGCAAGCAUGGAUCCAUCCGUUUUAGAUAAAAGUAGUGACCACUGCACGAAGGCACUGCAUUCGCUCCAUACUCGCAGUGGUGGAAAGGUGUGGUUCGGUAUCGCGAAGUGUUUAAAUGUGGCAUUUCCUAUGACAUUGGUAAUGGUAGCAACGUCAGUCUCUGGACGGACAUCUGGGUGGAGGAAACUCCGCUGAGCACAGUGUUCCCAGGAAUUUUUGCUUCGAUCAGGAACAAGGGGGCGCGCAUUUCCCAAUGCUGGAACUCACAUGGAUGGAGAUGGCGCUUCAUUUGUAGAGGUUACGUGGCUUCCGCCUCGUCCGAAAAUAGAAGACAAAUGGGGCUGCUGAAGGACCUACUACUCCACCACAUCCCAAGAAGUGGACUUGACUCGCUUAAAUGGAGAUGGACCUCACAUCAAAAGUUCACUGUUAACUCCCUAUAUAAAUUCAUCACUUAUGCAGGCCAAUCGGACCCAAUCAAUCAGCAGCUAUGGAAACUAAAAAUCCCCGUCAAAAUCAAAAUAUUCGUCUGGUUGCUACUUCGCAAGAGGUUGCUCACGGCUGAUAGACUCAUCAAUCGUGGGAUUCAAGCUGAACCCUAUUGCGUCUUCUGUGCUUUUUCCCACGAGUGUUGCGAUCACCUUUUUAGCGAUUGCGUCUUCGCACGCUUUCUCCUACUCCGUCUGACUGGGAUAUCCAGCGGUGUCCCGACUGUGGACGUUCGAGAUCGCUGGAACUCUCUAUCUCUUACCCCGGAUGCCAUCGCAAGAGCUAAAGGAUUAACCAAGCUAGCGGCCACCUGGUGGGUUAUCUGGACCGAGCGAAACAGCUUUGUCUUCUCUUCGACACUUCCGAACGUUGUUAGAGCUUUAGAUAGAGGCUCAUCCCUGUCCAACUCCUGGAUCUCGCUUCUGUAAUCGCGCAACGUCGCCUUUUACUGUAUUCCCCCUCUCUCCCCCUGCUCCUCUUCUCGCCCUGUUUUGUCUCUUUUUUUCCUUUAAUGUACCUCCCCUAUGUUCUUUCUAAAGGAAGCCUAAGCUGCUUCCACCUUGUACGCUUAGUUCAUUGCUCUUAGUGAAUGAAGCAGGUAGCGUGCUACCUUUCUCUCAAAAAAAAAAAAAAAAAAAAAAAAAAAAAAAAAAAAAAAGAUAAAAGUAAUGACCCCACGCAAUUAUGGAUCACUUUGAAGCAGUGUCCUCGAAUUCUUUAUUUAUUAUUCUCAAUUGUAAUAUCCUAAUUUAAAUUAUUUUAUUGGUUAAAUGAGGAAUUUUGUUGCAUUCCAUUAACUGUUAAUCAUUAAUUACUAUAUUUUUAUUUAUUAAAAAUAAUUAAAACUAUUAAAUUUAACAAUAGUACCACUUUUUAAUUUUAUCGACUAGAGUCGAACUAAUUUAUAGAGUGUGUAGUGUGGGUUUUAUAUAUAUAUAUAUAUAUAUAUAUAUAUAUAUAUAUAUAUAGCUAGGCUGGUAUACUAUCGGUAGCACGGAGGUCUCCAUACUACUAAGUUGUUUUUUAAGUUGUUUUCAAUAUUGUGGUUUCCAAAUUGGCGAUCGGCUCUGUUAGACUUGAUCUACACUAUUAAAAGUAUUUGAAAACUAAAUUUUAUAAUUUUUCGGCAUUAUUUACCAAUCAAACAAGUAGUUUAAAAAUAAACUGUUGAAAAUAAAAAUCUUAUGAAAAUGAUGAUAAAAUACUUGAAUUUAAGAUCAGAGGUACUGAUCUUACUCUAAAUAGUGAAAACAAUAUUCUAUAAAAAUUUUAUCAGAUUUGGAUUGUUUUACGUCGUUAAAUUUACAAACGUAUCACAUCUAUUAAUUGUCAAUUUUGAAAUUUUUGAUUACUAGCCAAAUGAUGUUGAAAAAUUAUAAAAUUUAGUUUUCAAAUAAUUUUAAUAGUGUAGAUCAUGUCUAACGGAGCCGAUCGUUGAUUUGAAAGCCGCAUCAUUUGGUAUACACCACGCUGGUCCUCCUCCUCCGCCUCGGCUCCCGCCCGGUGCUCGUGGUCGCGUCGCGCUGUCAGGGCCCUUUUUAGUUGUCAACGGUCCUGACCUUGUCAAUAACAUUGAGUUUGUAAUGAGUCUGUAAAUGUUGUGUCGGGCAAGACUUCGACAUAGGAUUUUUCUUAUUUUGGAUGGGCAUUACAUGUAAAUUGGCAUCCGGUUGGCUACCCGCGGGUUCACUUGUGCUACACAUCCAAGGGGAUAUAGGUUUCGCUAACGAUGGCCGCUUAUGCGACGGAUUGAGCCGGACGCGUGUCGGACAUGGGUCGGCGGCCUAUUUUUCCAUGGAUGUGCGGAGUGGGAAAACGUACCCCUCGGUGAGCACCUUUGUACCCCGGGGUGCCAAAUGGGUGGAUGCUAAUAUAGGGUAGUACGGGAAGGUUGGGUGAGACGUAUUAAGUGAGCCCGCUUCGCUAAAAGCGUAGUGUCUUGGUGAUCAUUUUGCCCUCACCGGCCAUGCCCGACCAAGUCGAGUCUUGUGCCUUUCGCUUGUAGUCCAACUUUUCGUUAUCAAUAAAAUACUCGUUGUUUGUACCAAUUUGCAGGAUCCCUUUACGUGCUUUCUCUUAUUUCUCGGUCGUUGCCAAUUUGCGAAGUUGUGCCUCGGGACGGUUUGGCUUGGCUGGCUCGUUCUGUGCAGGUGACAGACGAGCGCCGCGCGGGCUUUUCGACAAAAAGUCAUUAGACCCGUGACAGCGCGGCGAGGCGGAGCAGUGCUUCAGCGCGGCGACCGACGUGGCCUUCGCGAACCGGCCACUGCUCCCGUCGAUGAAGUACCUCACCCACGACUACACUACGCUGGCGUUCGCCAGCCGAGGUGCUCUCGACGCACCGCCUCACGGCGUGCGCCGCGUUCCGCACCGAGGAGGUGCGGGGGAUGGCCCGGAGGAUCUUCUCCGAUUGGAACGCCGACAAGGUACGUACGCACGCACCUGCAUGCCUAGCUAGCUACGUGCAUUUUUUUUUUAUCACGUACUUUGCUCUUGGAUGCAUGCAUGGUUUGUUGGUUUAAUUAGUUUUCUAUAAGAAUAAGAAUUAAUUAAUUCGUGAUUAAGUGUAAGAAUUUUGCUGCUUUUUUAGAUAACAGGUCCUAAUUAUUUAUAGAAAACUAAUGUAGACUUUUCAGAAAAACAAAAUAUUACACUUAAUUUGAAUUAUAAUAAGAUAGAAAAUUAUAUAUAUGCUAAAUAACAAGGGGAUUUUUUUAAAUUUUCCACUAAAUAGUCAUAGAUUUAGUGUACGUCAAAAAACCAUUUCAUUUUCUCCGUCUCACCUUCUUGUUAUUACUAAUCUUCUUUAUUCUACAUGCAUAUAUGCAUAUAUUUGUAAUAUUUAUGCUUAUUGAUCUCUUUUCAAUCCUACUAACUAAUUAUACAUAAGUAAUUAGUAAAAUCUCAUAAAAAUUAAGGGUAAAAUUUAAUAAAAAUAUAAAUAAUUUUAAUUUGAGUAAGCGUUGUUCGGCCGCACCACGUGUCUCAAAUUCCCACUUUUUUUGUAGUUGCACAUGAAAACAGCUCAGUACACUCGUAGUAAUCGUAAUACACCAUACAGUGUCCAAUAUAUAGCCUAUUGUAAACACAGAUCUAAUCGUGAGUCGUGACAGGGUUGAAUGAACUUACCGAGUUAAGAAACGUUUAAGAAAACGGGCCAGUUAAGUAUAAGAAAGAUGGGAUCCCAAAAGGGUGGGCCCAAAAGGGUACGGCCGACCACUCCUUGCUCCGGUGGGGCCCACCCUUUUUUUUUUUCAACCCCUCUCUCUCUCUCUCUCUCUCUCUCUCUCUCUCUCUCUCUCUCUCUCUCUCUCUCUCUCUCUCUCUCUCNAUAACAAUAUUAAAAUUUUAUACGGGAUAAGAAAAGUUGUACACCGAGUAUAUAUAAGAUAAGCUCAUAGAUAAUCUAUAAUUUGAAUUCUUUUUUGUUUUUAUUUACACCACGUGUAAAAUUUUAGCACAUGGACCAACUCUAUUUUUAAUAGCGGAUAUAACAAAAUUAAAAUUUCAUACCAUGUAGAAAAAAUUGUACACCGAAUGUAUAAGACAUGCUCAUAUAUAAUUUAUAAUUAAUAAAAAGGAUAAACUUCAAAUACCAUCUAUGUGGUUUUGCAUUUUUUUCACUUUAGUACCAUAGAGUUUAAAGUGUAUCAAGUUAAUAUCUAGUGGUUUCAUUUUCUCUUUUCGUCGGCUCUCCCGUUAAUAUUUCGUUAAAUUAUGUACAAAAAAACUUCAGAUACACCACUUAGGUUUAUUGAAUAUUCAUUUUAGUACCCUUUAGUUUUAACUUUGUUACUGAUUUAACGAAAAAAUAAUAGUGGAUUAAAUAAUACAAAGAGAAAAAUAAAAUCAUAGUGGUGUAUUAUAUGAAUUGAAAUUUUUUUAAAAAAGCUAUUUAAUAGAAGGUUAUUGGAAGGGGUUGAAGUGUUGGCGGGGUCUACCCAAUUUCCCCACUCGGCACUCUCUCAUUACUUUUUCUUUUCCUUUUUUUUUUCUUUGGCGUGCGCUACAUUUAAAAAUACUUGCAUGAACAAAAAAAUAUUUUUUAAUAAUUAAUAUGGUAAAAUUAAAUUUAACAUGAUAAAAUAUAUAAUAUAUAAAAAGUCUAGAUACAAAAAUUACUGAAUUUUUAUUUUAAAAUAAAAUUUUAUAAAUAUAGUGUAAAAAAAAGUUAAAUAUCCGGUUGACUUAUUUUUUAUAAAUAGGCAAUUGUUGUAAACCUUUUAUUUUUUAGUAGUACGCUAUUUUGUAUUUUCUUGUUAUUUUAAUUCGGCAAUACGUUAUAUAAUUUUAAUUUUAUUUAGUAUUGUAAAAUUUUUUAAAUGAAUGUGCUUUAUAUAAAAUUAAUGUAAAAUAUUAUAUUAUUAUAUAUUUUUAUAUACUUAUAAAAUUAUGCAUAUUUUUUAAAAAUAAAUAUUUUAAAAAAUAACUGAAAUUUCUUUUUUCGGCGGCAUCCGGCGGCUGGCACUUAGCUAUAUAUAGGGCACACGAAUAUCUAUAACUCUAUAUGAAUCCCCAAUAAAAAUGAUGACAUGGCAAGCUCUCCUAUUUUUAGAUUUUUUAGAUUUUUUAAUGGUGGUUUAUUCUCUGAAUUUAUUGUUAAUUAAAAUGUUACUCCAUGCAUAUAACAUAACAGAAAUAAAACUAAAUGAAUCCCUAAAACUACUACCUCCUCAUCUCUCAAACUGCUCCCUUCUCACCUUCCAACCCCCGAGAUUCCUCAUCUUCCAAAACCCCUCCCUCCUCAUCUCCCAAAUACAGAAUAGUGGUAUGCAUGUAAUAAAAGCCAUGACCUCUUAGUUACCAAACUCCCAAAUAAAUAGUGCUAUGCAUGUAAUAAUUAAAAGCCAAGACCUCUUAGUUACUAAAGCUUCAUCGAUAGCCUAAAAGAGGAUAGAAAGUUUUGCUUUAGAAAGUGAGUCUUUUUACUAUUAUCAUAGCCAAUAGCAUUCCGAAAUUCCUGUUCUUUCCUCUUGGGAAAAGCUCUUCCUUAUUUUAUUUAUUUAUAUAAAAGAAAAGAGACUGUUCUUGGUCUAAGGCCCUUCUUUGUCCUCUUUCGAGAAGAUCAUAGAUAAUAUUGGGGGGUUUUUUUCGAUACGAAAUGACAAAAUGGAAGUCGUCGAAUGGGACUUUCGAAUUGUCUAAUUGAAGCUGCUAAUGCGGAUUCCUCUCCUUCUAUGUGGGAUGAAUAUGUAUUAUUUCUCUCUCUUUUUUUUUAUUGCAUAUUACUGUUCAUGAAUUAGUCAUUUGAGUUAUACAAAAAUUGAUGGAGUAAAAUUAUAAAAAAAAAAAACGGAUUAAAUUAGCAUUUACAUCAACAAACUAACAUAGUAUAUAGAUUGUUGGCUUAUAGAUAUAUGAAAAGUAGGCUUUUACAAUUUAACGGUAGUUAAAAACUAACUAUUAUUAUUUUUAAAUUUAUUUGUAUGACUAUCAUAUAUUCCUUCAUACUUUUUAUUUUAUUUCUUUACAUUUCGUACUAAUUUUUUGAUGGCAUGACAAUUUGAACGUCUAUAGACAAAUGCAAUAAUAAUUGGCUUUUAAGAUAAAUCUAAUUUGAAUUAAAAAAGAUGAUAAGAUAGAUAAAUAUCUUUAUAUGAUUAGUUAAAUAUGAAUUUGAGCCUUUUUAGUUUUUCUUUCAUUAUUUAUUACUUUUCAUAAUAUUUUAAAUAUUUUUUCUAUUUUUUUUAAUAUUUUUAUUUAUUUGUUAAAUUUGUAGACUGUAAAUUUUUACUAAAAUGUUUUUAUCCGUCGCAUCGCGCGGAUUCCUAUGCUAGUUUAUAAUAUAAAAGCAUUAUUAGCCUUGUCGAUGAUACGCUCAUUAAACACGUGUGUUGUUUUCGAUCCUUUACGUAAGCUAUUACGCCAUCACACGCCACGCUUUAUAUACAGCGCCCUACUCUCCUCAUUAACAACUCACACUCAGUGUACGUACUCAACAACAACAACAACAAUCACAAUGGAAACGUUUACUAGUUAUCUCUCGCUCAGUAUUGCUGUUCUGCUCAUUCUCAUCAUCAAAUUUUCCUUCGCUUCGGCGAAAAACAAUAACAAGAAGCUGCCGCCGAGCCCGCCGUCGCUGCCGAUCAUCGGCCACCUCCACCUAGUGAAGCGUCCCCUCCACCACGGGCUCGCGACGAUCUCGGUCCGCUACGGCCCCGUGCUCCUGCUGCGCUUCGGCUCGCGCCGAGUGCUCGUCGUGUCCUCGCGCGCGGCGGCUGAGGAAUGCUUCAGCACCGACAACGACGUCGCCUUCGCCAACCGGCCCCGGGUCCCCUCGCUGAAGCUCUUUACCAACGGAUUCACGCUUCUCCCCUUCGCCAAUUACGGGCCCCUGUGGCGCAACCUCCGCCGCAUCGCCACGGGCGAGGUCCUCUCCGCCCACCGCCUCACCGCCUCCGCUGCUUCCCGCGCCGAGGAGUUGCGGGGAUUGGUGAAGAGGAUGUUCUUGGAUUGGAAAGCCCAAAAUAAGGUACUAGACAUAUUGAAUCUAAGAGAUGUGAAUGGCCCAUCACUGCUCGCCAACGGGAGUGAGAGGCAGUUCAACUGCAUCUAUCUAUGGCCCCAGACACAUUAGCAAUAAUUGCUAGGUGCUACCAGCCAUCCCUAGAGCAAGUGGCAAAAAGUUUGGUGGUUGAUACCUGAGAUCCAAGUUCGAAUCCUAAUUGAUUCAUAUUUUUAGCUAAGUUUAUUUCUAAAUGAAAUAAACGAAGCGGAUAGUGUGCUAUCUAUCUCUCAAAAAAAAAAAUAAUCGCUAGAUGCUGAAAAUAAAUAAUUGACACAAUCCUUAUCCUGAUAGCUUAAAAUUUUCUUUUAAUAAAACUUAUGUCCUAUGUAUAUUUUUUUCCAACUCCUUGGCCAUUUUCCGUCAGCUCUUGUGGUCUUACUUUUUCUUGAGCAUAUUGUAGUUACACUUAUUAGCAAUAAGUGGUCGGUGAAUCUGACAAUUUUUUUUCUUACUAUUAGGUCAUAUUUUUUAUUAUCAAAUUUAAAUCUUAGCCCUCCCGAAUCUUAAUUCCUAGCUUCGUCCCUGUGCAUGCCCCCUCUCUUGAGAAUAAUAAGAGCUAAUUGCAGAAAUAUGAUUUGUUUUUUAUUAUUCAAUAUAUAUAGAGAGAGAGAGUUAAACUGGAAUACUAUCAAUAGCAAACAGACUCCGAGACCAUCUAUUUGUUUUCGAUGAUGGAGCCUCCAAAUUAACGAUCAGUACUAUUGAACAUGAUCUAUAUCAUUUGAAAUAUUUAUAAACUAAAAUUUAAAUUUUUUCGACAUUAUUGGUCUAAUGAUUAAAAUGUUUCAAAUUUUGUCGCUUAACAGUGUAAAAAUAUCCAAAUUAAUUGAAUAUUGGUUUAAAAAUUUUUUAAACUGUGUAGAAUAAGAUCUAUACUCUUGAUAUUAAUUACAAGACUCAUAUCAUCACUUUUUAAAGAAUAUUUAUAUUUAGCCGUUUAUUUUUGUGUCCACUUGAUGGACAAGAGAAAGACAUCGAAAAAUAUAAAUUUUGAUUUUUAGAUACUUCAAAUGGUAUAGAUCAUAUUUAUCAAUACGGAUCAUCAACUUGGAGACUCUAUCACUGAAAACUAAUUGAUAGUAACGGAGCUCGUUUGCUAGUAAUAACAUUCUAGCUCAACUAUAUAUAUAUAUAUAUAUAUAUAAAAGCACGUAUUUCAAAUUUUGGUAUGUGGACAGACCCAUUUUUUGGCAGGAAAAAAAAUGAUUUAUCUUUCCUUACGUAAAACAAAUAACGUAAUGAAACAAAUUUUUAAUUUCUCUUUAUCUCUAAAAUAGAAAAAUAUAUACUUAUUCAAAUUUUUGCCAACCGAAAAUAUCUACUAUGAAUCUAUAUUUUAAUUUAUUUUUUAAAUUUCUUUUUCUCUCUAAAAUAGAAAAAAAAUUCAUGCUUAUCCAAAUUUCUGCCAAAAUAUUUUUUGUAAAUCUAUAUUUCAAUUCAAAAUUUAAAAUUAAUUUAAAAUUUUAAAUGUUGGGACUAUCAACAUAUUACAAUGGAAAUAAUUUAAUAGAUAGAUAGGUUGAUAAAUUUGUAAAUUACAUUUUUAAAUUAAUAUGACAUACAAAUUUAUGAUCAAUUUGUAAAAAAAUUAUCUCAGAUAAGAACAAACGGUUAUGAUCAAUUUGUUAAAAAAAAAAUUGGUAUCCAUCUAUAGUUUCAAUUUUACGAACGGUUAUGAUCAAUUGGUUAAAAAUAUUGAAAAUAAAAAUGAACUGUUAUGAUCAAUCUGUUAAAAAAUAGCACUUCUAUCUAUUUAUUUUAUAUUAAAAUUUAAAUUUGAGUUUAAAUAAUGAAUUUAAUUUAAUUUAAUUUUUAAUAUCAAAUCUAUUAAUUUAUUUUAUAUUAAAAUUUAAAUUUGAUAUUGUAGAUAUUUUCUAAUAAAAUAAUAUAUAAAUUUACAAAAUAUUUUAUUCUAAAUUUUUAAAUAAAUAUGAAUUAGAAAUUUUUAUUAAUUUAAAAUAAAUCAAAAUAAUUAUUACAUUACAUACAUUUGCAUGUACGCUUGCUCACAUCAUCCGUUAGAUUAUACUAUUCUACCAACAACUCACUCACCCUUAAAGUGCUCAUAUCAUCCUAACCGUACAUUACAUUCAUCCAAGGGCGAAAAACUUGGUAGCACCAAGUGCUUGGUGCUAUUAAUAAUAUUCCAGUUUAGUUCUACAUAUAUAUAUAUAUAUAUAUAUAUAUAUAUAUAUAUGCACAUACACACUAACGUCUUUUUUUAUAAAUUAUUAAUUAUCACUUUUUAGAUUAGAGAGAACAGUAACUGAUAAUUUUAGUAACAAAAUGAUUAACGAUUGAAUCAGCUUUAAAUAUUUAAUUACUUUGUUAGUGUGCUUAAAAUUUUCUCCGUUAUUACGAUGGGGGUCGACAUAUCAAUAGCUUCAAAAAAAGUUCUCAUGUGGUAUAGAUUAUUCUUUUAUUACUUUGCUCUCGGAUGGUUGUUGUUUUAGUUUUCUAUAUAUAAGAAAUAAUUCGUAAGUGAAAAGAUCGUAAAAAUUUUGCUGCUUUUUUCGACUAUAACAGGUGCUUAUUUAUAGAAAACGAAUGUAGAAUUUUCAGAAAAAGCAAAAUAUUUCACCUUGAACUACAAUAAGAUAUAGAGUAAGUUAGUUACAUGCUAAAUAAACAAGGCGAUUUUUAAAAAUUCUCCAAUGAAUUAAUAGUCAUAGAUCAUUUACUGCCAAAAAUCACUUCAUCUUCUCCAUCUCACCUUCCAGUUAUUAUUAAUCUUCUUUUAUUGUACAUACAUGCAUGCGUGCAUAUAAUUGCAAUAUUCAUGCUUAUUAUACAUGCAUGCAUGAAUAUAAUUAUACUAGGCUAGUAAUUAUUAUUAACUGUGAAAACAAUUAAUUAUUUUGGAUAUAGAGUGAUGAGUCGUCGUUCACCAAGGUGGAGAUGAAGUCGAGGUUGUUCGAUCUAGCACUGAAUGUGAUGAUGAGGAUGAUAGCAGGGCGAAAGUACACCUUCUCACAAGGCGAGGGAGUCGGAGGGUCGGAGGCCGCGAAGCGAUUCAGGAUGAUGGUGGAAGAGACCUUCUUGUUGAUCGAUUCGACUUCAAAUUUAGGAGACUCUCUACCCAUGCUAAGGUGGUUUGAUAUCGGAGGGGCCGAGAAAAGGAUGAGGAAAUUGCUGAAGGAGAGAGAAGAGCUGAGCCAGAAGAUUGUCGACGAGAAGAGGAGAGAAAGCGAGGAGGAGAUCAAGAAGGAGCAGACUAUGAUCGGAGAUCUGCUUGAGUCGCAGAAGCAAGAUCCUGAUUUCUAUACCGAUGAAACCAUCGAAGCACUUGCCUUCGUGAGUCUCGCUCCUCUUUUUUUUUCUUUUUUUUUUUCGUGUGUAUGUUAAAAUUUUUAAAAUGUAUGAUUCUGCUAAGUUUAAUUAUUCUGAAUAUAUAUAACUUUAUGUGAAACAGCAACUUGUAUUAACUACAUCACUCACAUACCGACGAAUUAAAUUCUCAAUUGAAGUUUUCUAAAGAUAAGCUAAAGUAAUUAAAUAUUAGAAAAAUAUUAGUUAGAAAAAAAUAAAUUUGGACGGUCUUUGGUAAUUAAAUGGACUGUAGGAGUUGAUACGUCGACAUAAACUUUUUGCUUCUCACUUUUGGUACGAACAUAGCCACACCAGCAGGAGUGGGAUGGAUCAACUUCAAUGAUGUGAUAGUCAUGGGCAAUAGUUUUACCAAUCAAAGUUGUUACUUAGGUGACCCACAAAAGUUCUUUUCUAAAUUAUUUCUUCCUGUAAAGAAAAAAUAUGGUGAACUAACUGGUCUUUACAUCAAUUGAUAUCUAGCAAUAAUAUAUAUUUACCAUAUUAUAUGCAUUAAUAUAUUAGUAAUUUUUAAAGAAAUUUUUACUAUUUAUAGCAAUACUCGAAAAAAAAAAAAAAAAAAAUUUAUAGCAAUACUCGAAAAAAAAAAAAAAAAAAACUACUUGUACACCCAUCCGUGAUUUGUGAGUUACACUUCAUUCAUCCAAUGAGUGAGGUGUUUCCACUAGCCACAGUGUUAAUUACUAGUUACAUUAAAUGACUGGUAAAAAUACCUCACCUAUUAGACGAGUGAGAUAUAAAAUAUACACCUCCCGAAUAGAAUGCACAUGUAGCAUUGCUCUAUAAAUUUUUGCUCCUGAUGCACCCAACUUAACAAGGCAUGAAUCAGUAAUAACCCUUAUAACUACUGCUUUUUGAAAGAGCUUGUUAGCAGGGGGAACGGAUACCACGUCGAACACCAUCGAGUGGACCAUGUCGCUCCUCCUCAACAAUCCUGAAGCCCUAAGAAAAGCGGCGACGGAGAUCGACGCUCGUGUGGGCACCGAUCACUUGGUGGAGGAGUCGGACAUCGCGAACCUCCCCUAUCUCCACUGCAUCAUCACCGAGGCUCUCCGCCUCUACCCAGGAGGGGCCCUCCUCAUUCCCCACGAAUCUGCGACGGAGCUAACCAUCGCAAACUACACCGUGCCGCAAGGCACCAUGCUACUGGUCAAUGCCUAUGCCAUCCACAGAGACCCCGCCGUAUGGCGCGAACCUACGAAGUUUAAGCCGGAGAGGUUUGAAGCUGGGAGAGAAGAGAAGGGGUGGAUGAUUCCGUUCGGGAUGGGGCGGCGACGGUGCCCCGGGGAGGGCCUCGCGACGCGGGAGGCGUCGCUGGCGCUUGCGACGAUGAUACAGUGUUUCGAGUGGAAGAGAGUCGGGGAGGAGGAGGUGGACAUGACUGAAGGAAUGGGGCUGACUCUGCCCAAGGCAUUGCCUCUGGAAGCACUGGUUCGGCCGCGCCGGAACAUGAUCGAUUUACUUUCCAAGCUCUAAAUGCAUAUCAUGAGUUGCAUUUCACAAAUGCAGGAAUAAAAGAAACUAUAAAUGUAAGCUAGUACCGCACCAGACCACUGGUUUGUAUGCGUAUGUUAAGGGGUGAACUUCCUAUGGCAUAUCUCUGGUAGUAGUAAGUUCAUUUAUGUAGUUUCCUAUGUAAAACUUUCAAGUUCAUUUUUCCUUUGUUUGACGCCUCUUCGACUUUUUAUUUGCUUUGACUUAAAACAAUUUAGUCACAACCUUGCUUCGAGAGGAAUUAGAUUAAUUUAACAAACAAAAAUCUUUUCAAACAUCAGUACCAUAUAAUCACAUUAAUUUGCCAGAUGACAAUCUGCGGAGAAUCCGUUAAACAACAGCAUAACGUUUCAAUGAGAAAUGUAGGAAGCCUAUCAUUAAAUCUAAAAGCCUACAGCAUCAUAACAGCUCACUAUAUUUUGAAAUCCACAACACAUACAGUGUUGUUAGAGAAACAUGCGGCAAUCUUAUCGCCUUCUUUGUUCCAGCACACUUCGAAGAUGCUGCCGCCGCCUCUGUAGGUCUUCAAUAUGUGCAGGCACUGGUCUAACGAUCUGCUCGCCAAGUACUCACCGUUGGGGCUAAACGCGACAGAAUAUACAGGUUGCCUGUAGUUGUAUUGUACAACAAGGAAAUUACCAUAAGAAUACAUGGGAGCACUACAAUGUAUCUAUGCCUAGGGUCAAUUACAAAUUCAGCCACUGAAGUUUGAUCAUGACUCCAUCGUAGUUCCAUUUCUAACAAUUUGGUCCCUAAAGUUUAUCCCGUGCAACGAUAAAGUUCUUUAAAUUAGAGCAAACGGUAACUAACUAUCGUGCUGGCAUGGCAUCUUUCUUCUGGCAGUAGAAUAAUAGAAGGACUAAAUUAUUUCACCGGACAAUUUGCAAUGACUAAAUCGUCAAAAUCGAUAUUCUUCUUCAAUGAAAUUGGUCUUUCUCAUUGUGAAUCGACUAUAUAUGAGAGUCGGUCGCAACAUACCGGUCACAACAUACCGGCCAAAUCUAAGCUCCAAUGAAUAUUGUAUUAAUUAAUCACUAUUAUUGGAUUCAACAGAAAAAUAAAAAAAGAACCACCCUUUUCUUUGUGGAUCUUAAGUUUGUUGGGAAUCCGGUACUCGCCCCGGUACCGGAUCUCGUAAAUCCGCAACCCGCUCCGAUACCGACUGCUGUGGAUCCGGUAUCGAUUGUUGGGAUUCCGCAACGGAAGCGUCGAAUCGGAUUUUUACCAUAAACCCGUCUCCUCAGCAGAUGCUGAUACAAUCAUAAAAGAGAAAAAUAUGCAGGUAAAAUAAGAUUCAUUAAAUAAGAGAAAAUUACACCUGACUCCUCUUCUGCACAGAAUAGCUACAACCCGAGCCCUCUCUCUGAAUCUCUCCUACCAUUCUCUCGUCUUCUAUACUCCCAGAAGACAUCUCUUUCAUCCUGUGCAUCCGUGCACAAGGUAUACUAAUGACCCACGGCUACGAAAGCCGCACACGUCCUCUUGCACCCAUGCACUAGGUGCAACCAAAAUCAUGACCAUAUUGGCCAUGCCAUAUGGGUGUGGCUAAUCCAUACCACCACCACCACCGAAACAAUAGCACAUAUGCUAUAUUUAUAGCUUACAUCAAAAGCUAUCCAAAUCCUAGUAUAAUUAAGAUUCCUACUCCGAUAAAUAUUUAUAUCUAUAUUUGUUUAUCUCUAAUAGAUUUAAAUAUUUAUCCUAAUCUAAUUAGAUUUAUACUCUAAUUAAUAUUUAAAUAUUAAUUUAUCUCCAACAGAUUUAAAUAUUAAUUCUUAUCUAAAUAGAAUUCAACUACAAAUCUAACCAAAUCCUAACAAAGUUUACUGCCAUGACCUUAAAGUAGGGCAGAGAAAGCACACUAAUGGCGAAAUGAAGUUACAAAUCAUGUACUUGUUCACAAGUUAUCACUAAUGAGACCACACCGGCCCAUAUUCUUAUGGGCCCAUUAAUUUCUUUGGGUUAAAAAAAGGAGUCACUUAGGCCUGAAUAUCUAGAUAUCCCUUCUAGUCCAUUCGCGCACUUAUGACAAAAGACCAGAUAGUUAGUACUAAAGGUUUUAGAUUUGAAAUCUAAUUAUUUAUAUUUUUAGUUAAAUUUAUUUCUAAAAGAAAUGGACGUCACAGAUAGCAUGCUCUUUAAAAAAGUAAAUAGUAUGCUAUAUUUUUGGAUUCAAAUGCAAAAUUUCAAUCAAUGUAUCUGUAAUGUAAUUAUCAGUUGAAUUUUAAUGCAAUUUUGCAUCUAUUAGUAGAGAGUUUCAUCCCGUGUGUUUAUUCAUUCUCUUACCUUAAAAAUCGAAAUUUAGUUUGUCAAAUUUGAAAAAGAUUAAAAAAAAAAAAGUGUCGAGAAAGGAAGAAAAAAAUACAUAGAUAAUUUACGUGAUUUGGCACUAUCUUAAGUCCACAGGCAAAAUAUAUAUAAUCAAAGUAAAAUACAAAAUGUCUCUCUAAAAAAAAAAUCUAGCUCCAAAAUAAACUCUACACUCUCUCUCAUCCUAAAAAGUCUAGAAUUAAUGCACCAAUUAUAUUGCUGAUAUGAUGUUCCCAACUAAUUAGAUUGCUUCUCUUGAAUUCAUUCGAUUAUCCCAUCAUGAUUAUUAGAAAAAUAUUUUUAUUAUACUUUUCUCUAAAAAAAAGAAAUGUAAUUAGUUAGUUAUUAAUGAUGUAACGUAAGUAUUACACAAUAGACUUCCUCCCCUCAUUCGCCACACUAGUAUACUACAGGAUAAAGUGUAUUUUUACGUAAUUAGUAAGAUCUCAUUAAAAUUAAGGGUAAAAUUUAAUAAAAAUGUAAAUAAUUCUAACUUGAUUAAGGCAUUGUUUGGCCACACUACACGGUCUUCUGAAGAAAGCUCUGAUUUGGAGCAUUAUGAAAUUCUUACUUUUUUUUGAGAGAGAUAGGUAGCAUGUUACCCACUUUGUUUAUUUCAUUUAAAAAUUAAAUUUAGCUGAAAAUAUGAAUCAAUUAGGAUUCGAAUUUGGGACCUCGGGUAUAAAACACCAAGUCCUUUGCGGCUUUGCCACUUGCUUUAGGGACGGUCGGUAAAUUCUCACUUUUUUAUAGUUGCACAAGAAAACACCUCAGUACUCGUAGAAAUCGUAAUAAACCAAACAUUGUGCAAUUUGUAGCGCAUUGUAAACACAGAUCUAACCUUGCCAGGACUGAACGAGUUAAGAAAUGUUUAAGAAAGCAGGCGAAUUAAGAAUAAGGAAGAUGGGAUCAAAUUUCGAAUUAUGAACUAUGAAGGCUGUGGCGAGGACUCACGUACGACACCAACUGCAGGGGAUAACAUUGACCGUAUACGUUGCAGCGGACACUCGUAAUAUUCAGAAGCUUUAAUUUCAGAUUCAAAGUUGAAUUUACAGAAUUUUUUGUCCUAUUUAAUUUCCACUGUUAAGAAGCUCAUUUAGAAUUUUCAUUAGACCAUUCAUUCACUUUUCCUACCUAAUAAUUAAAACAUUAACAACUGUCAACAAAGUUAGCUUAGCGUUGCUAUACGGAUCAAUAUCUUUUUAAUUCAGCAAAAAAAAGAAAAACAACAAUUAAUAGAUAAAGAGUAUGUAACAAUUAAAAUCACUCGCAUCUUAAGACACACUCAAAUGUUACAUAUAUAUCCACAAUAAAUAAAAUUUUCUUUCAUAGAACAGUACAAAUUUAUCUUACUCGGGCAUUUAAACAGCUGCGCAUGCAUCAUAUGGCUCACGAAUAUAAAAGCAUUAUUAGCCUCGUCGACGAUAAGCUAAUUAAUUACACACAUUUGUUGCUUUCGAUCCUUUACGUAAGCUCUUACGCCGUCACACGCCACGCUUUAUACAAUGCGCCACGCACUUCUCUCCACUCUACUCAACAACGACAAUAUACGCGGUGGAAACGUUUACUAAUUACCUCUCGCUCCUUAUUGCUGUUCUUCUUUUUUUCUUAAAAAAAGAAAAAAACAUGUUUGUUAUUUUCGAUCCUUACAUAAGCUAUUACGCAGUCGCACGCCACGUUUUAUAUAUAUAUAUGUAGACUUAUGAGAAGCCCUCUCCGGAUUUGGAGGGUUUUGUGGGGCACACCAUUUUUUUAAUUUAUUCUCUCUCCCUCUCUCUCUCUCUCUCCCACGCUCGCUUAGGGGUGGAAACGAGCCGAGCUCGAGCGAGCUUAUGUCAGCUCAAAUUCGGCUUGAAAUUAAUUUCGAGCCUAAAUCUAGGCUCAAGCUCGGCUUGAAAUUAAUUCGAGCCGAGCUCGAGCGAGCCUAAUUUCGAGUCGAGCCGAGCUCGAGCUCUAAACGAGCCUAUUGAAAUUCUUGACAUUAUAUAAUCAAUAGUUUAAUUUUUAUAUAACAUUACCUACAAUUUCAUGCAACAUGUUCAAUAGUUCAAAAUACAAAAUAAUUGCAAGAAAUGUGAGCUAGGGUGACUGCCUGACUGGGUGAGGGUCUGAGGGAGAAUGAGAGAGAGAGAGAGAGAGAGGGGAAAAAAAUUAGGGAUUUGAGAAUUUGAAUGUUAUCAUGUUUUAGGGUUAUGUGCAACAGUGAAAGUCUGAAAGAGAGAGUGUGUUAUGUAAAUUUAGAGUUGGGCUCAAUUGCAUGGUUGUACUUGUUGGGUUUAUUUUAUGGGCAAACAAUAAUAGUCCAAAUUAAAUUAAAGCCUAUAUAUAAUUAAAAUACAUUAUAUAUAUAUAUAUAUAUAUAUCGAGCUUUCGAGCUUUUCGAGCCUAAUUCGAACGAGCCGAGUAAUACUCAAGCUCGGCUUGAAAUGAAUUUCGAGCCUUUUAUUUUGUUCAAGCUCGGCUCAUUCAAUUUCGAGUCGAGCUCGAGCGAGCCGAAUAUCGAGCCGAACACGAGUCGAACGCGAGCCGGCUCGCUCGUUUGCCAGCCCUACGCUCGCUCACACACUCUCUCUCUCUCUCUCUCUCUCUCUCGUACUCUCUCUCUCACUCUCUUUCAUACACUAAUUUAUUUAGUAGGAUCCACAUCAAUUUUUAAAACAUUAAUUACACAUUAGGUCUCAAUCUUUUCAUUUUUUUUUAUUUUGGUCCCUAAUUUCCCAACUUUGCAUAUUUUUUACUUUACUCCCUAAACAAUUUUUUAUAAAUACACUA